This 76-nucleotide transfer RNA is filed under the name Acholeplasma sp. Its description in RNAcentral is "tRNA-Phe". It matches the Rfam family "tRNA". Rfam says of the family: Transfer RNA (tRNA) molecules are approximately 80 nucleotides in length. Their secondary structure includes four short double-helical elements and three loops (D, anti-codon, and T loops). The record is from RNAcentral. RNAcentral also lists the same sequence under 4 other names. Lineage: Bacteria; Bacillati; Mycoplasmatota; Mollicutes; Acholeplasmatales; Acholeplasmataceae.
GGCUCUGUAGCUCAGUCGGUAGAGCAACGGACUGAAAAUCCGUGUGUCGGCGGUUCAAUUCCGCCCGGAGCCACCA